AGUCAAGAGACGAAGGGCACACGGUGGAUGCCUUGGCGCCAAGAGCCGACGAAGGACGUGGGCGGCUGCGAUAAGCCCCGGGAAGGAGCUGACCAUCCGUUGAUCCGGGGAUUUCCGAAUGGGGAAACCCGG
This 132-nucleotide ribosomal RNA is filed under the name uncultured bacterium yo9. RNAcentral describes it as "partial 23S ribosomal RNA". It matches the Rfam family "Bacterial large subunit ribosomal RNA", at positions 1 to 131 of the family's 2925-position model. The record is from RNAcentral.